UCAAGUGCAACAAAACACAGUUUGUCUCACUCAAUUGUGGAAGAAAAAGUCCAUAUAGGUUUUUGAACCAAGGUAUGUGAAGUCCAUGACAAUUUUUUCCCAAGUCAUGCCUUGUAAUGAUUAUAGGACCUUGUAAUCGAUUACCAUGGGUUGUUCUCUAGUUUGUACAAAAAGGUUACUUGUGACUCCCCAACUAGGAGAACUUGACUCCCAG
RNAcentral lists this long non-coding RNA (214 nucleotides) under Vigna radiata. Its description in RNAcentral is "long non-coding RNA (VRAD_LNC009991)". Lineage: Eukaryota; Viridiplantae; Streptophyta; Magnoliopsida; Fabales; Fabaceae. The record is from RNAcentral.